This 253-nucleotide ribosomal RNA is filed under the name uncultured bacterium. RNAcentral's name for it is "partial 16S ribosomal RNA". It matches the Rfam family "Bacterial small subunit ribosomal RNA", at positions 524 to 776 of the family's 1533-position model. The record is from RNAcentral.
UACAGAGGAUGCAAGCGUUAUCCGGAAUGAUCGGGCUUAAAGCGUCUGUAGGUGGCUUUUUAAGUCCGCCGUCAAAUCCCAGGGCUCAACUCUGGACAGGCGGUGGAAACUACCAAGCUGGAGUACGGUAGGGGCAGAGGGAAUUUCCGGUGGAGCGGUGAAAUGCGUAGAGAUCGGAAUGAACACCAACGGCGAAAGCACUCUGCUGGGCCGACACUGACACUGAGAGACGAAAGCUAGGGGAGCGAAUGGG